ACCGGCUAACUCCGUGCCAGCAGCCGCGGUAAUACGGAGGGUGCGAGCGUUAAUCGGAAUUACUGGGCGUAAAGCGCAUGCAGGUGGUUUGUUAAGUCAGAUGUGAAAGCCCGGGGCUCAACCUCGGAAUUGCAUUUGAAACUGGCAGACUAGAGUACUGUAGAGGGGGGUAGAAUUUCAGGUGUAGCGGUGAAAUGCGUAGAGAUCUGAAGGAAUACCGGUGGCGAAGGCGGCCCCCUGGACAGAUACUGACACUCAGAUGCGAAAGCGUGGGGAGCAAACAGGAUUAGAUACCCUGGUAGUCCACGCCGUAAACGAUGUUUACUUGGAGGUUGUGGCCUUGAGCCGUGGCUUUCGGAGCUAACGCGUUAAGUAGACCGCCUGGGGAGUACGGUCGCAAGAUUAAAACUCAAAUGAAUUGACGGGGGCCCGCACAAGCGGUGGAGCAUGUGGUUUAAUUCGAUGCAACGCGAAGAACCUUACCUACUCUUGACAUCCAGAGAACUUUCCAGAGAUGGAUUGGUGCCUUCGGGAACUUUGAGACAGGUGCUGCAUGGCUGUCGUCAGCUCGUGUUGUGAAAUGUUGGGUUAAGUCCCGCAACGAGCGCAACCCUUAUCCUUGUUUGCCAGCGAGUAAUGUCGGGAACUCCAGGGAGACUGCCGGUGAUAAACCGGAGGAAGGUGGGGACGACGUCAAGUC
RNAcentral lists this ribosomal RNA (700 nucleotides) under Vibrio vulnificus. RNAcentral describes it as "bacterial SSU rRNA". It matches the Rfam family "Bacterial small subunit ribosomal RNA", at positions 492 to 1191 of the family's 1533-position model. The record is from RNAcentral. Lineage: Bacteria; Pseudomonadati; Pseudomonadota; Gammaproteobacteria; Vibrionales; Vibrionaceae.